AAACGCCUUCGAGAUCAAUAUUGAUCAGGGGAGACGCCUGGCCCUGCAGAAUGAGAUCGACCAGAAGUCCAAUCCAGUCCAACUCAAAGCAGCACCGGUACCAUCGGGUUUGGGCCAGUGGGGCACUGCCCAGUUUGACAGUUCCGACCAACAUAGUAAGUUCCUGCGGUUGAUGGGCGGCUUAAAGAAGAGCUGGCAGCCAAUAGCAGCGAGCGGUGCGACGGGAGGGCGGGCCAACAUGGCGCUGACUAAAGACGGACAGCAGAGUUUGCAGCAAGGCCUACUGGGGGAGUUUGAGCGUGCUCAGUCGCGCCGCAUGGACUUCACGGAAGGGGGGCGGGACUUGGGUUCUCGGCGCCGUCCAAUAAGAAGUUCUCAAUUGACAUCAACACAACCCGAUCGGUGCGCUUCGAUGACUGAGUCGGGACGGACCCUUGAGUGCGUGUCUAGCAUCCAAAAUGGAUUG
Oncorhynchus kisutch (coho salmon) is the source of this 466-nucleotide long non-coding RNA. RefSeq lists it as uncharacterized. The transcript is spliced from 3 exons. The record is from RefSeq and is a predicted model, not a curated record. NCBI's taxonomy places the organism in Eukaryota, Metazoa, Chordata, Actinopteri, Salmoniformes, Salmonidae.